UACGUAGGUGGCGAGCGUUAUCCGGAAUUAUUGGGCGUAAAGGGUGCGCAGGCGGAGCGGUAAGUCAGUGGUGAAAGACCGGGGCUCAACCCCGGGGCGGCCACUGAUACUGUCGUUCUAGAGUACUGGAGAGGGGAGCGGAAUUCCAUGUGUAGCGGUAAAAUGCGUAGAUAUAUGGAGGAACACCGGCGGCGAAGGCGGCUCCCUGGACAGAUACUGACGCUCGUGCACGAAAGCGUGGGGAGCAAAUAGG
This 253-nucleotide ribosomal RNA is filed under the name uncultured bacterium. RNAcentral's name for it is "partial 16S ribosomal RNA". It matches the Rfam family "Bacterial small subunit ribosomal RNA", at positions 524 to 776 of the family's 1533-position model. The record is from RNAcentral.